GUUUAUUUGCAUGCAUUUGAGACUGUUAACAGCAUCAACUACAUAUUUAAACGACAUUUGAGGAAAGAUAUUUGAAUGGACUGUUUCUUGGUUCUUGACCAAUUGUCUCUUUCUAUUGUCUUUAACAUAUGCAGAUAAGUGUCAAUCAAAAUGUUGGAGCCAUGAAUUUUUUUCCCUUGAAGCUCUAUAGCCUGUUUCACUAUCUUAUGGCAUGAUUUUGUCUUGGAGGGGAAGUGUGUGCUACGCCCGCUUCUUCUUCUUCUUCUUUUUUUAAUUCCUUGUCUAUUAUUUUACUCUCCUUUUUGAGAUCAGACCCUUAGAGGAUUUUCCCUUUACAUUCAACUCAACAAACACGUACUAAGCAUGGACUCUUGUCGUGUAGUUUUCUAAGACCUGAGUCUACAACAACACAAGUGAUAGCUGAAGCCUUCCUACUGCUUCACAUCAGUUACGGGUGACUGACAUCGAAUACUUAAUUAUGAGUAUGAUGAGCAUUAUUGAAGUUCACAGGGCAAAGGUGGGCAUAUAGCUG
RNAcentral lists this long non-coding RNA (532 nucleotides) under Marmota monax (woodchuck). The record is from RNAcentral. Lineage: Eukaryota; Metazoa; Chordata; Mammalia; Rodentia; Sciuridae.